This 68-nucleotide transfer RNA is filed under the name Alpheus randalli. RNAcentral's name for it is "tRNA-Cys". Lineage: Eukaryota; Metazoa; Arthropoda; Malacostraca; Decapoda; Alpheidae. The record is from RNAcentral.
GGUCUUGUAGUCGAAAUUUAAGACGUCAGGCUGCAAUCCUGAAGGAGUAAUUAGUUUAACCUUGGCCU